UACAAUCAACACAUUGCAGGAACAUGCCUCUGGAUAUAAAGUGAUUAUUUCUCUGAAAAAGUAACAUGAAAUGAGAAUGACAGCCUCUAGAUAAUGUAAUUGUACAUGAAGGUGAUUGAUUUGGAAAUGAAUCACAUCUGCGGUCAGUAACAUCCUGUCUCUGUUAAGAUAACUAAACUGAGGCAAGGAGAAGUUAAGUCAUGUAGUCAAUUGCAAGUUCCUUGGAAGGCAAAGAUUAUUUUCUUUUUGCUUGUAUUUGGAUCCCCAGGACUCAGCAAAAU
This is a long non-coding RNA of Sarcophilus harrisii (Tasmanian devil), 281 nucleotides long. RefSeq lists it as uncharacterized. Lineage: Eukaryota; Metazoa; Chordata; Mammalia; Dasyuromorphia; Dasyuridae. The transcript has 4 exons. The record is from RefSeq and is a predicted model, not a curated record.